This 479-nucleotide unclassified non-coding RNA is filed under the name Amorimia exotropica. Its description in RNAcentral is "partial contains external transcribed spacer and 18S ribosomal RNA". The stretch from base 420 to 479 matches the Rfam family "Eukaryotic small subunit ribosomal RNA", at positions 1 to 60 of the family's 1831-position model. The record is from RNAcentral. Lineage: Eukaryota; Viridiplantae; Streptophyta; Magnoliopsida; Malpighiales; Malpighiaceae.
UGUUGGGAUAGUAGGCUCCGUGCACUUGCAUCGAACUUCUAGACCACAUCCUCUUCAUGGCUCAAGCAUUAUAUCUUUUGCUUGUCAAUUGAUCGUGUUCCUGUAUUCGAUACCCUUGUUGGAGGUACUAUGCUUCUAUUUUACCCUAGUCCUUUUGGUGCCUUGUAAGGGCAUCGAGUGGAGCAUGUAGCUUGAUCUAACAUACCAGGCUUGUCGAUUUGGUUGCAAUGGUUGUUGGAUCAAAGCUUGUGUUCUCGGAUGCGGACUGUUCAAUGGGUCCAAGGAUUUUAAUCCUUGUAUUAGCCCUAUGUGGGAAAUCGUCCCUCGAUAAGUACGACAUCCCUUGUGCGUUACGAUUUAUCCAAUGCUCGUUGGGGCUGGGAUACUUUGUUCGUGCAUCGGUGUCUGCGAAGGAAUGCUACCUGGUUGAUCCUGCCAGUAGUCAUAUGCUUGUCUCAAAGAUUAAGCCAUGCAUGUGA